This 579-nucleotide ribosomal RNA is filed under the name uncultured Curtobacterium sp. RNAcentral's name for it is "bacterial SSU rRNA". It matches the Rfam family "Bacterial small subunit ribosomal RNA", at positions 102 to 694 of the family's 1533-position model. The record is from RNAcentral. Lineage: Bacteria; Bacillati; Actinomycetota; Actinomycetes; Micrococcales; Microbacteriaceae.
ACGGGUGAGUAACACGUGAGUAACCUGCCCCUGACUCUGGGAUAAGCGUUGGAAACGACGUCUAAUACUGGAUAUGAUCACUGGCCGCAUGGUCUGGUGGUGGAAAGAUUUUUUGGUUGGGGAUGGACUCGCGGCCUAUCAGCUUGUUGGUGAGGUAAUGGCUCACCAAGGCGACGACGGGUAGCCGGCCUGAGAGGGUGACCGGCCACACUGGGACUGAGACACGGCCCAGACUCCUACGGGAGGCAGCAGUGGGGAAUAUUGCACAAUGGGCGAAAGCCUGAUGCAGCAACGCCGCGUGAGGGAUGACGGCCUUCGGGUUGUAAACCUCUUUUAGUAGGGAAGAAGCGAAAGUGACGGUACCUGCAGAAAAAGCACCGGCUAACUACGCGCCAGCAGCCGCGGUAAUACGUAGGGUGCAAGUGUUGUCCGGAAUUAUUGGGCGUAAAGAGCUCGUAGGCGGUUUGUCGCGUCUGCUGUGAAAUCCCGAGGCUCAACCUCGGGCUUGCAGUGGGUACGGGCAGACUAGAGUGCGGUAGGGGAGAUUGGAAUUCCUGGUGUAGCGGUGGAAUGCGCAGA